AGUGAACGCUGGCGGUAGGCCUAACACAUGCAAGUCGAACGGCAGCACAGUAAGAGCUUGCUCUUACGGGUGGCGAGUGGCGGACGGGUGAGGAAUACAUCGGAAUCUACUUUUUCGUGGGGGAUAACGUAGGGAAACUUACGCUAAUACCGCAUACGACCUACGGGUGAAAGCAGGGGAUCUUCGGACCUUGCGCGAUUGAAUGAGCCGAUGUCGGAUUAGCUAGUUGGCGGGGUAAAGGCCCACCAAGGCGACGAUCCGUAGCUGGUCUGAGAGGAUGAUCAGCAACACUGGAACUGAGACACGGUCCAGACUCCUACGGGAGGCAGCAGUGGGGAAUAUUGGACAAUGGGCGCAAGCCUGAUCCAGCCAUACCGCGUGGGUGAAGAAGGCCUUCGGGUUGUAAAGCCCUUUUGUUGGGAAAGAAAAGCAGAAGGUUAAUACCCCGCUGUUCUGACGGUACCCAAAGAAUAAGCACCGGCUAACUUCGUG
RNAcentral lists this ribosomal RNA (492 nucleotides) under uncultured bacterium. Its description in RNAcentral is "partial 16S ribosomal RNA". It matches the Rfam family "Bacterial small subunit ribosomal RNA", at positions 29 to 507 of the family's 1533-position model. The record is from RNAcentral.